UGAUUGAAGCUUGCUUCAAUUGAUGGCGACCGGCGCACGGGUGAGUAACGCGUAUCCAACUUUCCGUACACUCAGGGAUAGCCUUUCGAAAGAAAGAUUAAUACCUGAUGGUAUGAUGGGAUUGCAUGAAAUCAUCAUUAAAGAUUCAUCGGUGUACGAUGGGGGAUGCGUUCCAUUAGAUAGUAGGCGGGGGUAACGGCCCACCUAGUCGACGAUGGAUAGGGGGUUCUGAGAGGAAGGUCCCCCCACAUUGGGAACUGAGACACGGUCCAAACUCC
This 278-nucleotide ribosomal RNA is filed under the name uncultured Bacteroides sp. RNAcentral's name for it is "partial 16S ribosomal RNA". It matches the Rfam family "Bacterial small subunit ribosomal RNA", at positions 70 to 339 of the family's 1533-position model. Lineage: Bacteria; Pseudomonadati; Bacteroidota; Bacteroidia; Bacteroidales; Bacteroidaceae. The record is from RNAcentral.